Long non-coding RNA from Monodelphis domestica (gray short-tailed opossum), 543 nucleotides. RefSeq lists it as uncharacterized. The record is from RefSeq and is a predicted model, not a curated record. Lineage: Eukaryota; Metazoa; Chordata; Mammalia; Didelphimorphia; Didelphidae.
AAGAAUCAAACCCUGAGUCUUUUGACCUAAGUAGCAACUGUUGUGACUCGGAAACUGCAUUCCCAUCUCCUGGGAAACAAAAUUACUUUCCUUUUUUGUGACAUCCUAGAGGCCAAACACAGACUAUCAUGGGACCAAGGCCAAAGGUAAGAGCCAAUGGGAGCUGGUGAUGCAAUGCUCUCUCUUUGGAAGGGUCACAGGCAUCAGAAAUAACUGGGCUACUAUUCAGGUCUGCCUCAGGGAGAAAAUCCAGAAGAGUACUUCCUAGUGAACUAUUGCAAAGCCAGCUACCUCUAGAGGUUGCAGAACCAGAACAUCAUUUGGUUCCAUUCAAGGUGGCUUCUCCAAUGGACUUCUUUGGGGGACUUUGCCUUUUUGACUUCUGCUUGGAUUUUCUCCUUGGGAGUUUGUCUUCAGAGGCUUUGCAUCAGUGAGCUGGGGUCAUUGAAGUCCAAUGGCAAGAUAAAAGUCAAGAUGACUGCUAAUGGAUGAGGAUUCAGUGGAUGACCUUGGCUUCUUCAGUAUCCAAUAAAGUUUUAAGUC